RNAcentral lists this ribosomal RNA (465 nucleotides) under Vreelandella stevensii. Its description in RNAcentral is "partial 16S ribosomal RNA". It matches the Rfam family "Bacterial small subunit ribosomal RNA", at positions 338 to 795 of the family's 1533-position model. The record is from RNAcentral. Lineage: Bacteria; Pseudomonadati; Pseudomonadota; Gammaproteobacteria; Oceanospirillales; Halomonadaceae.
CCUACGGGUGGCAGCAGUGGGGAAUAUUGGACAAUGGGCGAAAGCCUGAUCCAGCCAUGCCGCGUGUGUGAAGAAGGCCUUCGGGUUGUAAAGCACUUUCAGUGGGGAAGAAAGCCUUGGGGCUAAUACCCUCGAGGAAGGACAUCACCCACGGAAGAAGCACCGGCUAACUCCGUGCCAGCAGCCGCGGUAAUACGGAGGGUGCGAGCGUUAAUCGGAAUUACUGGGCGUAAAGCGCGCGUAGGCGGUCUGAUAAGCCGGUUGUGAAAGCCCCGGGCUCAACCUGGGAACGGCAUCCGGAACUGUCAGGCUAGAGUGCAGGAGAGGAAGGUAGAAUUCCCGGUGUAGCGGUGAAAUGCGUAGAGAUCGGGAGGAAUACCAGUGGCGAAGGCGGCCUUCUGGACUGACACUGACGCUGAGGUGCGAAAGCGUGGGUAGCAAACAGGAUUAGAUACCCCGGUAGUC